Molecule: RNA transcript, 1224 nt
Organism: Amborella trichopoda
Lineage: Eukaryota; Viridiplantae; Streptophyta; Magnoliopsida; Amborellales; Amborellaceae
Gene name: Acyl-CoA N-acyltransferases (NAT) superfamily protein
Source: RefSeq, a predicted model, not a curated record
CAUGCAACUCUCCCUACUUCGUUCCAAAAAAAACCUUAACAUUUUCUCUCUUGAGCAAUAAAAUCCAAUAGGGUGCUCUCUCUCUCUCUCUUUUGACAUGAUUGAACUCUCUCUUGGGGUAUAAAUACGUAGCAUAGUUGAAGACCCCUAUUUAAAGGAUGGCUCACUUAAGGCCACACCCAUGUCCAAAGUUGGAUAAAGCCCUGAAAAUUCAUCCUAAUCCUUGUCAUAAGAAGGCCUUGAGGAAUUGCACUCUUUCUAGAGCGAGAGAGGCCUUGAAAACUUCAUGUAUUUUUGUAGAGAAGAAACCGUUGAAAACUUGCACUAGUCAUAGAGAGCAGAAGAACAGUGGUUCUAGAGAGAGGGGGAAGGGGGGGCUGUUUGGAUGGGCACCAGCUUUAAUCCUCAAAAAUGGGGGGAGAGAGAUGGGGAGCAAGAAGGGGGUGAGGGCAUUUUGGUCACAGGAGAAAGUUGCUCUGGAGAAUGGGUAUGUGUUGAGAGGGUGCUAUGGGUGGAAUGUGAGGUGUUUGGAGUUCGAGGAGAAUGAGAUGAGGAGGGUGGCUGAAGUUCAAGCAAAGGCCUUUCAUGUGCCCAUGCCCUUUUUCAAUGACUUCUUCUUUCACUUGUUUGAGGCUGACGUGCUUGCUGGUCUUUUCUACAAGAUUAGAAAUUCAGCACCGAAUAGGUAUGCUUGUUUGGUAGCUGAGCCUGAAGUUGCUUCUUCAACCUCACAGCGGAGACUCGUGGGUGUGGUCGAUGUCACAGUCUUGAGAGAUGAAGCAGUUUUGAGGUACCUCGAAGGAGCAGAAGAAUACCUCUAUGUGUCGGGGAUAGCGGUCGUGACAGGAUUCAGUGGAGACAUGGGGCCUCCCAGCUUCAAGCAUUCGGACCACCUAUGGAGACAUUUCAAGGGGGCCUGUAAUGAUAGUAGGAAAGCAUUGUGUUGAUCAGCACACCAGUAUUCACCCUUCACAUGCUGAGCUGACACAAUCCAUUCUCCAUAGCUUCUCUCCCAAGGUGCUCAUGGGCCACAGGUGCUCCAUCCAAAACCUGUCUUCCUCAAAGUCACUUUGCACCAGGGGGAUGCCACCUCCAUCUUGAACACUUCAAACAUGACUGACUGGCCGAAAGCAAAGGCGGCGCAAGGUGGCUACAGCAUUGCUCAAGGCAUGCGAUGUGCUCUCUCGACUAUGGGGUUUUGAAUGCCUUGCACUCAGAGCUUAC